RNAcentral lists this transfer RNA (72 nucleotides) under Planctomycetes bacterium GWF2_42_9. RNAcentral's name for it is "tRNA-Thr". It matches the Rfam family "tRNA". From Rfam's summary of the family: Transfer RNA (tRNA) molecules are approximately 80 nucleotides in length. The record is from RNAcentral. RNAcentral also lists the same sequence under 1 other name. Lineage: Bacteria; Pseudomonadati; Planctomycetota.
GCCAAAGUAGCUCAACGGUAGAGCUCCGGUUUUGUAAACCGGGGGUUAUCGGUUCGAAUCCGAUCUUUGGCU